Molecule: long non-coding RNA, 217 nt
Filed under: Lonchura striata (white-rumped munia)
Lineage: Eukaryota; Metazoa; Chordata; Aves; Passeriformes; Estrildidae
Description: domestica (Bengalese finch) lncRNA (ENSLSDG00000012217.1)
Source: RNAcentral
AAGCCCCGAGAGAGGCGGGGCGGGGAGGCGCCGGCCCUUUCCGCGCCGCGCUGCCCGCCGGGAGCUGUAGUCCUGCCGCCGCCGUGGCCGCCCCGUGGAGCAGGGCAGAGGGACUCGGUGUCCCGGCGCGCCGCGGGCCGUGGGCGGAGGCACUAAAUUUGCUGGGCAUUUGGAAAAGCGUAUUUAGAGUUGUUCCUGGGCCUACAUCAAAGACCUC